This 505-nucleotide ribosomal RNA is filed under the name uncultured bacterium. RNAcentral's name for it is "partial 16S ribosomal RNA". It matches the Rfam family "Bacterial small subunit ribosomal RNA", at positions 29 to 523 of the family's 1533-position model. The record is from RNAcentral.
AGUGAACGCUGGCGGUAGGCCUAACACAUGCAAGUCGAACGGCAGCACAGGAGAGCUUGCUCUCUGGGUGGCGAGUGGCGGACAGGUGAGGAAUACAUCGGAAUCUACUCUGUCGUGGGGGAUAACGUAGGGAAACUUACGCUAAUACCGCAUACGACCUACGGGUGAAAGCAGGGGAUCUUCGGACCUUGCGCGAUUGAAUGAGCCGAUGUCGGAUUAGCUAGUUGGCGGGGUAAAGGCCCACCAAGGCGACGAUCCGUAGCUGGUCUGAGAGGCGGAUCAGCCACACUGGAACUGAGACACGGUCCAGACUCCUACGGGAGGCAGCAGUGGGGAAUAUUGGACAAUGGGCGCAAGCCUGAUCCAGCCAUACCGCGUGGGUGAAGAAGGCCUUCGGGUUGUAAAGCCCUUUUGUUGGGAAGAAAUCCAGCUGGCUAAUACCCGGUUGGGAUGACGGUACCCAAAGAAUAAGCACCGGCUAACUUCGUGCCAGCAGCCGCCGCCG